This 565-nucleotide unclassified non-coding RNA is filed under the name Aspergillus flavus. RNAcentral describes it as "partial contains ITS1, 5.8S rRNA and ITS2". The stretch from base 217 to 370 matches the Rfam family "5.8S ribosomal RNA". Lineage: Eukaryota; Fungi; Ascomycota; Eurotiomycetes; Eurotiales; Aspergillaceae. The record is from RNAcentral.
UCCUUCCGUAGGGGAACCUGCGGAAGGAUCAUUACCGAGUGUAGGGUUCCUAGCGAGCCCAACCUCCCACCCGUGUUUACUGUACCUUAGUUGCUUCGGCGGGCCCGCCAUUCAUGGCCGCCGGGGGCUCUCAGCCCCGGGCCCGCGCCCGCCGGAGACACCACGAACUCUGUCUGAUCUAGUGAAGUCUGAGUUGAUUGUAUCGCAAUCAGUUAAAACUUUCAACAAUGGAUCUCUUGGUUCCGGCAUCGAUGAAGAACGCAGCGAAAUGCGAUAACUAGUGUGAAUUGCAGAAUUCCGUGAAUCAUCGAGUCUUUGAACGCACAUUGCGCCCCCUGGUAUUCCGGGGGGCAUGCCUGUCCGAGCGUCAUUGCUGCCCAUCAAGCACGGCUUGUGUGUUGGGUCGUCGUCCCCUCUCCGGGGGGGACGGGCCCCAAAGGCAGCGGCGGCACCGCGUCCGAUCCUCGAGCGUAUGGGGCUUUGUCACCCGCUCUGUAGGCCCGGCCGGCGCUUGCCGAACGCAAAUCAAUCUUUUCCAGGUGACCUCGAUCAGUAGAACAAAUUC